Molecule: long non-coding RNA, 1312 nt
Filed under: Chrysolophus pictus (golden pheasant)
Lineage: Eukaryota; Metazoa; Chordata; Aves; Galliformes; Phasianidae
Description: lncRNA (ENSCPIG00010012002.1)
Source: RNAcentral
UAGCAUUUGAAAAGCAGACUUAGACUUAUGGUGAAAGCUGGAGGAAGCAGUGUCAAAGGCAAUUUGCCCACAAAUGAUCUGCCAGAAGGCUGGCAUCCACACCACUGUUACACAAACAUCCCUUCAUCUCAGGUUGUGGUUUUAUGUGGGUGCAGGAAGAAUAUAUGAGAUAAAGGAUUUGGGGGCUGGACAACAAUUUAAAGACAGAAUUAAUGAUUUGAAGAUGGAAGUGGAGCACAGACUACAUCCUGGUGAAGGCAGGGCACUGAUGAGAGCACGGCCAGGCAUCUGAUGCAGUGGUUGGUCCCGGGCAGGGGAUGUAUGAGACUCCCACAUAGGGAUGGGGAGCUCUGACCUGCCCAGAGCAGCUUGGGGAGCUUAGUCCCAUCCUGCAGCCUGUGGUAAUUCCUCACCUAAGUCAUGGCUGACAACUGGUGCUUUGGAGAAGCUCACUUGCAGAAAUAUUUCUGAUAAGAAAAAUCACAUCCUCUAAGAGCUUCCAAUAGAAAUGGUGACAGAGGGCGGAUCCCCCACUGCAGCACAUCAUGCCUCUUCUUUCCAGUGGCCUCCUCCAGCCCAGCCACACACAGACCACAGCCACAUGAAGAGAUUGCCCAGAGAGGAGCUGAACCUCGAGUCCUGCUCUGCUGCUCUAUGCUCACUGGGGGAAGGCCUGGAAGGACAUCUCGGACUGUUGGUGCUGCUUCAUGCAGUUCAAGUAAGUUCAGGUGUUUUGACAGCUCUUGGGUACAAAUGAAUGCUGAGGUGAUGUGUUUUGGGGAAUGGGUUUGCCUAGCUUACCUGCUGGAUGGCAAGAGGGGUUGAGGAUAUCAAAGCAUUAAGACAAGCAAAUUUGACAAAAAAAAAAAAAAAAGAAAAAAGAAAAACAAAAAAUAGAAUGGUAUCGAAUGGUACAAAGAGCACUGAAGGUGCUGGUGGAGAAUUACAUUAUCUCUCACAAGUGAACUCACAGCUUGAUUCAUGCUGCAGUUGAACGUGUUCUCACUGUUCCAUUGAGCGUAUGCCAUGGUGUGAAACAGUCCAUAGCACUUAAGGCACCAGCUGCUCUUCCCUAUUAUUUUAAGGCACUGUGCACCUGUCCCUGGGGGUAGACAGGUGGUUAUGGUGUUCUCAGCCUGAGGGUUUCUUCAGAAGCUGCUGGGGAUGGGAGUUGGGGCACACAGGGCUCCUGUCAGGGGAGUGUGGCUCAUUGUGAGCCCCUUGUGAGCCACGUGUGCUUCCUGCUCCAUCCUGCAGUGCUCCAGGUGUGUGUUCAGUGCUGCUUUUUCAGUUCCCAUAACCAGAUCAGGGG